Zonotrichia albicollis (white-throated sparrow) is the source of this 4876-nucleotide non-coding RNA. Lineage: Eukaryota; Metazoa; Chordata; Aves; Passeriformes; Passerellidae. The record is from RefSeq and is a predicted model, not a curated record.
AACCCUAAACAAAAAUACCCACAUAAUUGCAGCAGGUUCUAAAUCAUAAUUUACUGAUUCUGGAAAAAAAAAUUACUUUCUGAAGUGGGACCAGGAUGACCCAAGUACUGGUAAAAGAUAAUUAAAGAACAACAGAAGGCUUCAAAGACUCUGAGAACAAGCAGUAAGCAAAGUUUUCAAGGGAGCCAACAUAGGUAUCCAACAUAGUGCUGAUCUUUCUGAGGAAGAGGACAGGGUUAGAUAAUUGAAAAAAGCGUCCCAUGUUGAACAGCUACAUUUUGACCAUGUAAGUUCUCAGCGCAUUUAGAGCAUUUGGUCAUGAGACCGAGACUGAACCUUUGACUCCGAAAGAUGACGUGCACUGGUGCGUGUAUGCCAGCACAGUCAUGCAAAACCAGUCCUCCCCAUGUCACUGCUCCAAUCUUUGUAGGAAACACAGCAUUUGCAAACAUUCUUCACUAUGGUAAGACUUGUCUAUUAGAAGACAAAAUUAUGCCCUAUAUACUUACUGCCAUAAAUAUUUGUUUUAUAAAUAAUUAUCUCAUUUUUGAGAAGUCUUCCAAAAUUCACAGAAAUCCACUGUAAUCUGGGAUUAAGAUCCACAGCCUUUCUACAGCUGAUGCCAAAGAUCAAUGGUCAAAUUAAAAAAAAAAUUUUCCCCAGCAAUUAGAAAUUUCAUAUCUAUUUGAAAAUAAACUAGACUUGAAAAUCUCUAACCUGACAGACCUGCAGCUGUUUUAACAUACGCUCUGUUCCCCCCAUCAUUAGAGUGACCAAUUCCAAGACUACUACAAUGGGAUGAAACUGAUGCAGACACAGUAUGACAAAAGUUACACCAUCCAUGAGUACUUAAAUACUGUUAUUUCAACAAUUAAAAGUGACCAGUCUUGUAACACGAGAUCUCCUUUACCCCACGAGGAAGUUCUGGAGAAAGACAUGAUUGGUAACUAUUAAAACACACACAAAUGCUACCACCCAGAUUUUUGCUCUAAAUUAAACACAGCUUUGAAGUAGUCCCAGAAUAGUAGGCCGUUCCUCAGCUGAGGAUUACUGUGUUCCAGGAGCUUUCUAAUGCUUUUGAGUAUGUAAGUUUUAUAAAGGUACGGCACAUCCCAUUUUGUGAGCUGUGGAACUACCUAAACAUUGUUUUAAUCACUAAGAAAGAUUUCCUGGUUGUCCUUAGAGGACACGAAACCAGGAAAAGAGGGGACUAAGCAAUCAAAAAAAGUAGCAUUCAUUCUAUUACUUUGAUGCUUCAUUCUGAAAAUAUCUAUUUUAGAUUAUAGUUCAUGCAAAGUGUUGGGAUCACCCCAAUUCUGCUGCAUAAUUCCCAACACUUGCCUUUAGUCUCACAGAAAUCCAGUGCAGAGGCACUAAGCACCUCAGCAGUUACUGCCAGUGAUACAGGGCAAUAGCAAAACACGAUUAGAUAAAGGCUCUCCAGUCCACAGUGUCAUCUUUUCAUAAACGGCAGAGAAGUCAUUGCCGCUAAUUGAAACCAGUGUUCUGGGCCUAAGAUGUUUGCAUGUAACAGUCAAGAAGUAAUUAUAACAGUAAACUCACCUAAAAAUCAAAUAUAUGUAAAAAACUUUGUCAAAAGGCUGAAGACACCCCUCAUAAUCCUCAUAAUAAUGUUAUACUAAGUAUAAAUCUUACUGAUCGUGUCUAAGUGGCACACACAUGCUUACUAAAUGAAAAACAUUUCAAAGUCUCUUAAAGCAGCCUGAUGAUCUCCCAAUUAGUAUUAAUUUACACAAGCAAAUCUCCUUUGCCUUUCAGUACCUGAUUCUUGCUAUGUCAGGACUUCUUGGAUCCUGACAAGUAUCUCUAUUUGAAAGAGCUGAUAGUUAAGCCUUAGACGACAAAUGCUUCACAAAUUAAAGACGCAGUUUUGCACAUAAUAGUUUCUCUUUUAUUUUUCGAACUAGGGGUGAAUCACAGUUCUCAACCUUUAAAAUUUUGCAGAAAAAAAGAAAAGGUAAUCUACUGUGUGGCAAAUGAUGCGACCUUGAUAAUUAUCUCCGAAGGUUAAAACAAAGCAGACAUUUGCAGCCUCUGCUGAAGCACAGCUGUGGGGCCAAGAGCCCUCGAGAAUCAUCUUAGCUGUGGAAAUGGACGCAAUUUUAUGAACUGAAGCUAGGAAGCAGCUAAUUCAGACAUUCUCUCUGUUUCAAGUGAACAACUACUAAAAAGCAACACCGAAGCAUGAAGGUUUUCUGAUUUUCUGUAAGAGUCUGUUAUAUGGCACUUCCAUAAGUAUGUUCAAACAGCACGUACUUUCUCAUGCUGGAAAAAAAGGCAAACAGGUUUCAAGUAUGGGGUAAGUAAGGGCAGAGUUGUCAACUAAAACAACUGCAUGCCACUGAUAGAUCAAGCUUGGCACUCCAGGGUGAGAAUCUAAUGUACCUGGGCUCCAACACCGCAAACACGGCCGAUGCCAAGGCACUUUAACAGGGCAAUUAAAGCAUUUGUCUUCUGGAACUGCCUGUCCUUUGUUUCACGGUUCCCUGUUAACUUGAAACUUCCCCUGACCCAGUUAGUCAAAGCCCAAGGCACGGCUGGAAUUCACUCGGGAUGUGCCAACAUAAAGAUUUCAGGAAUUCUCUGCGCAACAAAGGCAGCCCAAACCCCCGACAGCGGGGGCGUGAGCUGCCCGGGGGAUCCGCCCCGCCAGCGGCCCCCCCGGGAGUAGCCCGGGUAAACAAACACCCCGACUCGCUGGUGACAUCUCUCCCACUUUCCGCGUAGUAUCGCGCUCUCCCGGAAAGUACUUAUCACGGAAAAAGUCAUCGAGAGCCGCUUAAUCCCGUUAGAGAAAAGCCGAUCCCCGGCCGAGCGCGGCUGUUCGCGCCGCCCAGAAUAGCUGCGGCCUCUUUACUGACAGCUCGGGAGAGCUCUGUUCACAUCAUCACUCUCAGCUGAAAUGUCCAAGAUUAGCAGAAGGCAGAGUAGCUCCGUUUCCAGGCCGGAACACCCCGUGUCACUCUGCAAGUCCACCAAUACCGUUCCCGAAACUGCAACAUACCAGGAGAGAAAUACACUCCAGGCUGGCAUUCCACAGGUAUCAGCUUUCAGCAUCACUGCUGUCCUGCAGCUGAGAUGAGAAAGGCAAGGCGAAACAGCCCUGGCAGGAUUCUUUGGAGUCGUAUUUCUUUUGCAUUGUAAAGCACUAAAUGUCACUAGGAAUUCCUUAUCUACUGUCUUAUCUGGUGGACAGUUAAACCCCUUGCAAGCCCCUCUAAAAUUAAACAGCACACUCCCACCCGGAUCAGGCCUGCGGAACAAAGUCUACUUAAAGUUUUAUGGUUUGUUGCUAGUUGCAGGUGAGAAAUAUACCAGACUCCCACUGCACUUCUAAUUCAGAUAAAUUUCUUCCUCAAUAGGUACAGUUCAUGCACUGUAUCUCAUACAGAAAGUAAGAUAAGGAAGGCAAACAGUAUUCUUCGUGAAGAGGCUGGACUUUGGAAGGAAGGCCUGAAAGAACCUGUUUUAUUAGAGCAAAUAUGAAACUGCAUUCAGAUAUUGUAUGGAAAGGCCUGCUUCUAGCUAUUGUUAAUAAUUAACAUGCAAGUGCAUACACUAGCCUUCAAGUAUCUAUUUCAGUCUAAAAGCCUCAACAGCAAAAGUCAGAGGGGAAAAAAAAAGACUAAAUCAGGGCUAAUUUAUAAACUUGGUGCUUUCAGUCACCUACAGACUAAUUCUAUGAUCAGCACGUAAUGCAAUAUUGCUUUUAGGCAGAAUCAAGGCACAAGAAAUAGAAAUUUAGUUUUACUUCCAGGUAUGUGUCAGAUUACUUGGUUUACACUGUGGUAGGUGCCUUUUUCUUUAAUGAAUGUUUUAAAACUUCAUCCGUUAGUUCUCAAAAUCUUUUGUAACAGUGGCCUUAGGAUGUCCGGUUAAUGCUCCUAAAAUGUUGUUAAGAGUAGUAAGACUAUGGACACAUUAAAUAUGUAUCUGACUUCUUUUAGUACAACAGCAGAGAACAUUGAUUGCUAGCAGAAGAGCCUUCAUCUGGAAAGUAACAAUGCUUGCAAACUUAUUCACUGUGUUACUGAUCACUUUGCAUAAUUAUCACAAUACAAAGAAUUUUAAAAUCAAUUCAGCAAACUGGAGAGGGCAUCAAUAUUAUAUGCCUUAUUUUAAAUAUAUAUUGUUUUCUAAUCUAAACUUGUCUGUCUUUCCUUAACCUGAAUUUAAAAAAAAAAGUCUGCAGUAAGGAACUGUUUAGAAUACUUUAAUUGUUCAUGGCUCUGUUUAUCCUACGAGCAGCAAAGCAACCUCCACUGGUCACCUCCCUCAGUAAAAAGCAUGAAUACUGUCUUUGUUCUACAACUGCCAGCAGUACAAUUUACAUAAAAGACAAUUUGGGAGAGAGAGGGACGUAACGCCACACAAUUUUUUGUUAUCUUUAUAUAGGAAUUAAAACAAAAAAUCUCAAUAGCAAAAUGGACUGGAACAUGUUUGAUUGGUUAAAAUUAUAUAUAGUGGAAUAAAUUUAAAACACCAUUCCCUAAAGGGCAACAUGAAGCAGUCUGCCCCGCAUCUCUCCUUGCCCUGCCAACGACAUCUGCUGUUGUACAAAGCUAAUUUCUUCCUGAUAGACUUUGCUUCUGCCCCUCCCGUGCUUCCUUUACUAUUUUGAAUGUUCUUUCAGGUUUUCUGGCAAGCCUCUGCCUUCCUUCCCAGGACUUCCACAUAUUACAGAGCUGGUUAGCACAAUCGCGGAAUUCAACCACUAACCAGAAGCUAAAAAUAAUCAAACACAAACCUUCCUGUAAACCCCCUUUCUUUUAUUCCAGUACCUCCUCUUCAGGACAGACCUUUGUCCCAUUUAUUGAAGUUGCAAUAUUUUAAGGAAAUAAGAUGUAAUGAUUUU